This is a long non-coding RNA of Anolis carolinensis (green anole), 14727 nucleotides long. RefSeq lists it as uncharacterized. The record is from RefSeq and is a predicted model, not a curated record. Lineage: Eukaryota; Metazoa; Chordata; Lepidosauria; Squamata; Anolidae. The transcript has 2 exons.
ACAGCCUUAAGCAUUGCACCGCGAUGCACAACUCUGACGCUGUCUCCCGCGCCAAAGGGGACACGUCUUCCAAAGAAGGGUCAUCUACUGAAGCCACCAACAUGCAGACCGCGUCACGGAUGCAGGAGGAUGCUCCAUCGGUCGCCUGUACUGAACUAUGUUCUGACGUGCACCAGUUCAGAGUCUGCCAUCCCAUCUGCCUAGCAGAUGUAUAUCCAGCCAGAAGACCUUGGCUUAAAAAGAGACUUUACGUGGCUUUGGAUUCACAAAGCGACGCCUCCCUGGCGACUCCAGAGUUUUUCCAACUGUUUGACAUAAAAACCCAGACGGUCGACUACACCAUGUCCACCUGUGUAGGGAAGAAGAAGUUGCAGGGUCGCAUAGCAUCCGGCUUUGUUGUCUCCUCUUGUGACCAGAAGAGACUGUUCGAGUUACCAGACCUCAUUGAGUGUUCCUCUAUUCCCCGGAACAAAAGGCAGAUUGUCACCAGAGAAGUCGUGGAAGCCCAUCCUCACUUGCGAAAGCUGAAGAACGCCUUACCUGCUUUCCGUCCAGAUGUGGACAUUGCCCUUCUGCUUGGUGCGGACUGUCCGAACUUGUUCUAUGUGAACGACCAAGUUAAGGGACCUCCAGGGGCGCCCAUUGCUCAGCUGCUACCACUAGGCUGGACAGUUACAGGCCCAGUGUGCAUAAAUAGGAUGCACCCUCCAUCGUCGGUGGGCACUCGUCAAGCGCACGUGCUUCAAGGCAGUCGCCCCACACUAAUGCAUAGCUGUUUGAGUCAUGUCUCGGUCUAUUGUCAGGGGAUAACACCAGAGUAUUCUUCCAUCUUUGAAGUCUCCGAAAGGGAUGAAACUACAGCGCUUUCCAAAGAUGAACAGAGGUUUUUAGAGAUCAUGAACUCUCAAGUUUCCCGGAGUCCAGAGGGAAGUUGGAUAGCCCCUCUGCCUUUUAAAGCAGAAAAACCCACUUUGCCAAACAACAGGCAUGUGGCAGAAAAUAGACUCUGGUCACUGAAGAAGAAGAUGCAGAAAGACCCCAAGGUAAAAGAGCAAAUCGUUGGCUUUAUGGAAGACAUGUUCCAAAGUAACUACGCCGAAGUCAAUUUUCCAUCAGCCUUUUCUCCCACCGAUAUUACAGAAUUGCCCGAGUCCGUUCCAGAGGUGAAAGUUUGCAAGAUGACCACAGAAAUCAAGAUGGGCCAAAGAUCUUGCCUGGAACCACACCGUUUUGAAUGUUUUUCGGAGUGGCACAGUCUUCUUAGAGCAGUUGCUAGGCUUAUACAUCGUUUAGCUUGCAAAGAUAGUGAGCCUUUACAGGUCCAGGAUAUGAUAAAGGCUAAGAGCGUCAUAUUCAAGUCAGUACAGAGAUCUGCUUUCAAGCAGGAAAUAGCUAGGCUAGAGCAAGGGCUCAACAUCCCUAAUCAAAGUCUUCUAAAUGAGUUAAACCCAUUUCUAGACAAGGAGGGUAUUUUGAGAGUUGGAGGAAGGUUAGCCAAAGCUAAACUCAAGGCGUGCAUAAAAAACCCCAUCAUCAUACCCCCUAAUAGUCACACUGCAUUGCUGCUCGUUCGGCAUCACCAUGAAAGGAUCCAUCAUCAGGGUAGAACUCUAACUGAGGCAGCCCUUAGAAAUGAAGGUCUGUGGGUAGUUAAUGCCAAAAGGUUGGUCAACAGUUGUAUUUUCAAAUGUGUUAAAUGCAGGCGCCUUAGGCGAAACUGUCAAAGUCAGUUGAUGGCAGAACUACCUCAGGAUAGGACUUUGACAGACCCACCCUUUUCCCAUGUGGGAAUCGAUGUGUUUGGUCCUUGGGAGGUUGUCACUAGGAAAACCAGGGGUGGUGUUGUAAAUAACAAGAGGUGGGCAGUUUUGUUUACUUGUUUAGUAAUACGAGCUGUCCAUAUAGAAGUCAUAGAAGGGAUGGACACUUCAUCAUUUUUAAACGCAUUAAAAAGGUUCAUAGCCCUCAGAGGGCCAAUUAAGUCAAUUCGGUCGGACUGUGGCACCAAUUUUGUAGGUGCGACCAAAGAACUCAAUUGUGUGUCUAGGUUUGGGAGAGACCCAAAGGUUCAGAACUUUACGAAUACUGAACAAAUUAUGUGGACUUUCAAUGUUCCUCACGCCUCCCACAUGGGUGGUGUUUGGGAGAGGAUGAUUGGUAUUAGUCGCAAAAUCCUUAAUGCCAUGCUUUUGAGUCAUAGGUCAUUGACGCAUGAUGUUUUGGUGACACUUAUGGCGGAAGUUACCGCAAUUAUCAACAACCGGCCGCUGGUUCCCCUUACCAGUGACCCUGAGAACUUACAACCACUGACUCCUGCACUUAUUUUGACACAAAAGGUGCCAGGAUGGAAGGACAUCAUGUUGCCAGUUCCGGACGGAACUCACCGUGCCCUGUGGAAACAGGUGCAGUCCUUGGCCAACCACUUUUGGAAAAGGUGGAAAGCUGAGUACUUAAGCCAGCUUCAAGCUAGAAGAAUCUGGCAAAGCCCACAGGACAACAUUGAGGUUAACAACGUUGUGUUGUUAAAGGACAAAGACUUGCCCCGCCAUGCAUGGCCCAUGGGCAUUGUAUUAAAGACCUUUCCUUGCCCGGAUGGUAAGGUCAGGAAAGUUCAAUUAAAGACUUGCAACAGAGACAAAGUGUCCAUUUUGGACAGACCAAUUAGUGACCUCGUGUUGCUUAUUGGAGAUGUUUAAAGUUCUAGUGUUUGUAUUGUCAUAUGUGCAAAGGUGUUUGUAUGUUUUUGAGUGGUAAAUUCCCACAUCCUGGGAAUUUAAGCGGGGAGUGUUCCGUCCCCCAGGACGAUGGUUUGCCUUACUUAUUGGUCGUUUGUUUGUUUUCCCUCCUUUGCAUUUUGUUUCAGCCUCUGGCUGCAAAAGCCCAAGAAAGGUGGCUUGAAGUCUGCAAGAGCUGGCUGCAGUUUUCUUUGCAAUGAUUGGUCAAAGAGUACAACAUCUUAGGACCGCCCUUUUUACCAGGGUCUAGUCUCCAUUUUAGAGUUUCAUUCUGGCUAUAGUCUUCCAACGUGCUGGAGCUGUGCAAGGCUAACUGGGACAAAUCAUCCUCAAAACCAGGCCAAUCUAAGCCUAUCCAAAUUAGAUAAGUAUUGAAUUAUACUGAUCUGGAAUAGGAAAUCUAGUUAGAGGAGCAGGGUUAUUCCAUCGCUUCUAGAACUAAUCUUUGCUGUAAAGAUAGGGAAGGAAAGAGUUUCUCCUUCUAAUAUAGACAGCGUGAUUAGGGUAUAGUGGUUUUAUAAUCACCUUUGCCUUCUGGAACCAGGGAUAAUUCUGCAACUAAAACCUAUGGAAAUUUGUUUCAUUUUCUGCAACUUUAAGAUCUGUGCCAGGUUUACAACCUUGUAUGAAUAAACAUCCUUUUUUGAAGUUCUCCAGACUCAGUCGUUCAAUAUUUUAGGACAGCUUAUAGGGAUUUGCAGUUCGCCCGGAUAAAGGACGGCACGUUUCAGCUUUAUAGUUUUUUUUAUUGUCUGGCGGACGGCACAAUCCUUUAUCAUGCUAUUCCAAUGGUCCUUUGAUAGUUGCUAGGGUUUGGUUUCAGUGCCUACUGUAAAUGCCAAAUCUAGGACUGUCUCAGGCUAGAUUUACCCCAGGCUAACUUUCCCAGUGUAGAUGAGCCCAAUAUUUCUCCUCAAGGCAGGCAAUAAGAAGUUUAAACAAUCUUCAAUGGCCAUCUGCCACGGCUGCUUUGAAUAUGAUUUUCUUGCUUCUUGGGAGGGGGUUGGUCUGGAUGGCCCGUGAGGUCUCUUCCAACUCUAUUAUUUUGUGAUUCUAUGAUUCUUGCCAUUGUGAGGAAUACUUAAAAAUCUAUUUUUAAUGUGGGAAUUCUUCUGUAUGAUGUGUGCAUGUAGUUCUUUGUCCAUUGUUUUUGCAAAAAAAAAAAAAAAAGCAACCAUUUUCAUAUUUUCUAUGCAAAAGAAGCUUUUGCUGCACUAAAAAGCCUGUCUUGUACACAGAACACAAAAUGAUCAAACUUUGGAUGGAAAAUUGCAAAAUGUGAAUAAUGCUGUGAACUCAGGAUUUUUCUUGCCAGGGCUUGUCUACCGGUUGAAAGCAUGUUUUCAGUGAUUUUUCAAGCUGUCAAGCAUCAUUGAACAUGUGCUCUGCAUUCAGUUUGCUUCUUAUCAUCCUUGGCCAGAGGUCCUCAAACCUUUGAAGCAGAGGGCCAGGUCAUAGUCCUUCAAACUGUCAGGGGGCUGGACUAUAGUUUGAAAUAAAUAUGAACAAAUUCCUAUGUACACUGUACAUAUCUUAUUUGUAGUGCAAAAAACAUGAAAGAAUAAUACAAUAUUUAAAACGAAGAAAAAUUUUAACCAACAUAAACUUACCAGUAUUUGAAUUGGAAGUGGGGACCUGCUUUUGGCUGAUGAGAUAGUAAAGUUAAUUAGGAUUGUUGUUGUGUGUCUUCAAAACAUUUCAAACUUAGGGUGACCCUAAGUCUAAAGUUUAGGGUCUAGCCCACAGCUUUAGUUUGGAGACCCCUGUCAUAAGUGAUCUCUCAUGGCCGAGUAUUAUUGUCUUCCAGAUGUAGAGUCUUAGCAAUGGGUCCGUAAGUGACUGCAGAACAGUGGUUUUCAACCUGUGGGUCCCUAGAUGCCUUCAACUCCCAGAAAUGCUAACAGCUGGUAAACUGGCUGGGAUUUCUGGGAGUUAUAGGCCAUAGCAUCUGGGGACCCACAGAUUGAGAACCACUGUUGUAGAGACAUAUUCUGGAUUCACAUGGUCUUUCUCAGUGAGGACAUACAUUUCCAGAUGGAAGGUGGUCCCAACAAAAGUUUGCUUGACAUGUUUCUCCCUUUUGCCCUCUAUUCGUGCUUCUUCAAAAUCCAUAGCCCUACUGGUAACAGCUGAUUUCCAGUUAGAAUGCUCAAGUGCCAGGGAUUCUCAGUUCUCUGCAUUUAUUCUACAUUUUAAAGGUUUGCUUUAAAUCCAUCUUUAAAUCUGUUUUGCUGUCCACUGACAUUCCUUUUUCCAUUCUUGAGCUGAGAGUAAAGUUAUUGCUUUGGGAGAUAGUGAUUGGGCAUUCAGGCAACAUGGCCACUCCAGUGAAGUCAAUGGUGGAGGAUCAUUGUUUCAAUGCUGGUGGCAUUUGCUUCUUCCAGAAUGCUGAUGUUUCCUCUUAGAGGAUCCUAUGGCCCCUUCCACACUGCCCCUAUAUCACAGGAUCUGAUCCCAGAUUAUCUGCUUGUCCCAGAUUAUCAAGCAGUAGAGACUCAUAGAAUCCAGUUUAAAGCAGAUAAUCUGGGAUCAGAUCCUGGGAUAUAGGACAGCGUAGAAGGGGGGAUAUCUCUCUGUAUGAACCUCCCUGAUUUUUAAAUCUUUAGGAGAAAACUUUAUUUCUAUACUCCCAGUUUGUAGAAUUCUUUCCCAUGGGAGGUCCAGUUUGUCCAUUCUCUGUUCUUUUUCUGCUGAUAGGCAAAGACAUUCAAGCUGGCCUUUGAUUUAUAAUUUAUCAAACAGUGCUUUUGAAGAGAUUGUAUUUUAGCUUUUUUUAAAAACUGAAAUUUAAUUGUUUUUCAGCAUUGUAUUUUUAGCGAAACCAUUGCUUAAUUGUUUUUAUUAUUUAUAUAUUUAUUUAUUUGAAAACUGUAUCUUGUUUUUCAAAUGCCUGUAAGCUGUGUUAGUUCCUUCUCAGGAUAAAAGGUGGGAGAUUAAUUAAUUAAUUAAAGAUAUAAUAAACAAAGAGAAAAUAUACAAAGGGCCCUGCAGCUGGCCAGUCUGGAAAUGUUCACCAGCAUAUGCAUAGGGAUCAAAGCCUCUGGAUCUGAACAAUCCUGCCUUGCAGUUUUAUUUUGCUCCCCAGUCUGUCUUACCUGCUCCCUGUCACUUCUCUUUGACAUUCUCACUUAUCAUGACCAUUGGUUUUUGGCAGGUUUCCGCUGCUGCCAAACCUCCUGCAAGAGCUGCAGUGAAGUAUGGGGCCGUGAUCUGCGAGAGAGAACAUUUGGGAACAUGAUGGAUGUGAGGCGGUGGGUCCUUGUUAAGUUGGCAGCCCAUUUUCCGUUAUCUCCUUAACACCUUCACUCGGUUUAGGAGAACUGCAGUUGGAGGGGGAGAAACGAGAAAGACAACUAUGGGGAAAUCAAGUGUUUCUCCAAUAGUGCAAUUUGUAUUCCUAAGAAAGUAGACUGACAGUUAAAUCUUGUACAGAAACAGUGGUCUAAGGACAAGUCACUCUGAUGCAGCAAUUCCUGACACCAUUUUGCUUUCAUAUUUGCCCUUUUUUGUUAGGAAAUAGUAAAGCUUCAACUGUAUGCUGAUCUGUUUUAGUGAACCCGUAUCACCUCCAUCCUCACCACAGCUAAUGUCUCCUUUUGAUUUGUAUUGUUUGCUGAGCUUUCCCAUUUGUGCUUUGCUAGAAAUGAGGUAACUGCAACAUUAAUUAACAAACAGAAGUGAUGGUUACAUACCUUGUCAGUCCCUGAGACUGUUCUCUUAAACAACAAACUCUGGCUACAUGUUUUGCUGGUUACAUAGACCUCAGGUAAGGAUUACCACAAUUUUGCUCAACUCACUUUGUCAUUGUCUGCAUGACUCUGAACUUCUAUAGAAUACUAGCUGUUCCCGGCCACGCGUUGCUGUGGCAAAGUAUGGUGGUAUGGGAAAGAAAGUAUUGAGGAAUUGGUGGUAGUUAAGGUCAAGGGUAAAGCUUUUCCCCUGACAUUAAGCCCCCUUCUAUGAGGCCCCUUCUACACAGGGAAGUGGAUUAUAUGGCAGUGUGGAGUCAAGAUAAUCCAGUUGAAAGCAGAUAAUAUAAGAUUAUAAAUGGGUUAUAUAGCUGUGUGGAAGGGCCUUGAGUAUACACUGCCAUAUAAUCCAGUUCAAAUGUGAUAAUCUGUAUUUUAUAGGUAGCGUGGAAGAGGCCUAAGUGAGGCCUAACUCUCCCUGUCCCCUGGGCUGAGUGGGUUGCUAGGAGAAAGUGCCUUCUAACUGGCAGCAAUUGGAUGAAAGGAAUUCUUCCUCUCCCUCUAAUUAGGACUUUAUUUUUCUUUUCUUUUUGUUGUAUGAACAUAGAGGCAUGGAUGAGGGGUUGUGCUGCCAAGUUUAGUGUUUCUGGGAUGUGUAGUUUUCUUGUUUUGUCCUAGGCCGAAAUUUCAUUACCCUUUUAUAUGUAUAGAUUGGUGCUCAAAAUAAACUUUAUAUAUCUUGAGUACUGUUAUGAGUAGGUUGGACUGAAAGCAGUGCUUAUUUUUUCUGGAUUCUUUGUCGAAAGUUGUUGUUUGUACAGUAGAGUCUUGCUUAUCCAACCUUCAUUUAUCCAACAUUCUGGAUUAUCCAUCGCAGUCUGCCUCCCGGCCGGAUUCAUAACUGUUUCUCUCGACAGCAAGGACUGGACUUUUUAUAGAUUUAACUUCUGACAAUGUUGUUACUGUAAGUUUAUUUUAUGCAAUUAUAUCUUUAUUCGUAGUCAAUGGUUCAAUAGUCAGUGUUUUAGUAGUCAGUGUUUUAAUACGUUGCAAUGUCUUGGUGCUAAAUUCGUAAAUACAGUAAUUACUACCUAACGUUACCGUGUAUUGAACUAGUUUUUCUGUCAAUUUGUUGUAAAACGUGAUGUUUUGGUGCUUAAUUUGUAAAAUCAUAAUGUAAUUUGAAGUUUAAUAGGCUUUUCCUUAAUCCCUCCUCAUUAUCCAACAUUUUCACUAAUUCAACCUUCUGCCGGUCCAUUUAUGUUGGAUAAGCGAGACUCUACUGUAGUUUGUUUGUCUUCUUGCCCAUUCCAGGUCAGUGUUUUACUUGGGAAAUAUGACAUUUCAGUCCUACCCAAAAGGAGCAUUUGGGAUUGGGCAGAACUGACCUUUUCAAAAUACAAUUAGAGGGACCGGAAAAUGUGUUUUGAUAAUAAAUACAGAAGUGAAGUCAAAGGAAAUUCCAUCUGCUCUUUUUUACUCCGAUUUCUUGUGCUCAUUUUUAUUCUCAUUUCUUUUUCACGGCGGGAGGUAAACUGCUAGGAUUGCUAGUUGCUUCCUUCGAGAGUGAAAUUAGCUAAGAAUUACAUCCUUGUUCAGAGGUGUUUCCAAACUAGCUGCCAGUCUUUCCAAAGAUAUUUUCCCCCAAUCAACUUUGCAAAACUAAUAGAAAGUUCUAUGCCAAACUCAAAUCCUACAAUUGCUUCAAUUUUCCCCCACCUACUGACUUAGCUGAGCAUCUCCAAGGCAAGAUAACAAAUGAUAGAUUGCAUCAUGUUUAAUACAUUUGUAUGGGUAAUAUGAUUGUUUGCUGGAUUUUGUGUAAAAAAGGGAGGGAGUAGAACCUCAGGAUGAAUGCAUUGCCUGGGAGGCCUAACAGAAAGAAAAGAGGAUAUAGCCCUGCUGAUAACAGCAAAGGGAGAGUGAGAUGGUAGAUAAAUGCUAUCAGUGCAACUGUGAAUUCACAAAGAACAUUAAGGCUUACUGAAAUGUAUUAUAUAACAGUGAGAGAGAAAAUGUCCCUGUAGACAUCAAGGUGGGGAGAGGGGUGGGGGGCUUCACUUAGAAUAUUAGAGAUGAUGAUAAACACAUUUGCCCAGAGACAGAACAGAGUAAAAAUGAGACCCUGUCAUGUUUGAUCUCUAUAUAUCUCCCAUUCUUCAAAGCCAGGGUUACAUUGUAUUGUGAGAAACUGAGUACAUUUUUAAAAAGUCACAUUUAUAAUUAAUCCUGUUAGGGUAUUAUGCUGGCCCAGUGUUGGGAUAUAUCACAAUCAUACUUUUCAUAUUGUGGUGUAAGGAGGUAUAAAGUAUCUCCUUAUGCAAGGAUUUCUCUAUUUGUCCAAAGAGCAAUGGACAAGUUCAAAGGCUGGUCCAGAAUGGAGGCAUAGCAAUACCAUCUCCAACCUGGAAAACCCACCAGAAUAGAUGUGGAACAAUUUGUAACGUCCACUGAAUUUCCACCCAGGAUGUCACCACUACAGAACUAUGCAUUGAAUAGGAUUGCAACCAUAAUCUGCCUCUCCUUCAAUACAUUCAAGGGGGCAUAUUUGUUCCUUGCUUCAUUUUCACAAUAAAUAAAGUUAAGUAGACUUGGCUGAGAAAAGGAGAAUGGUUGAUAAUCGACUUGAACAUGGAUUUGCAAAAUUUCAGUCCUAUAUUCUAACCACUAGACCCUCCAGUGUAGUGUAGUCGUUUUAAAUGUGGAUUAGGACUUGGGAGACCAGGGUUCAAAUGCCUAUUCAGUCAUUAUAACUCUUUGAGGGGCCUUGGGAAACUCUUGCUGUCAGAUUUACAGAUAGGGAAUGACAAAUAAAAAAUAAACCUUCUAGAUCAGGGUCACCAUAAGUCAUAAUAAAUUUGAUGGAACACAGCCUCCGGUAACACAGCAGGUUAAACCACUGAGCCGCUGAACUUGCUGAUCAAAAGGUUGGCGGUUCGAAUCCAAGGAGCGGGGUGAGCUUCCACUGUUAGCCCCAGCUUCUGCCAACCUAGCAGUUCGAAAACAUGCAAAUGUGAGUAGAUCAAUAGGUACCACUCCGAAGGAAAGGUAAUGGCACUCCAUGCAGUCAUGCCAGCCACAUGACCUUGGAAGUGUCUGCAAACAACUCUGGCUCUUCAGCUUAGAGAUGAGCACCAAACUGCAGAGUUGGACAUGACUAGACUUAAUGUCAGGGGAAAACCUUUAUCUUUACCUAUCAACAACGUUCAAGAAAAAGAGUAUCCUUUGUAAUUGGCACAAACUAAAUUGGACAUCAUCAGAAAGUAAAGAAACAUGCAGGGAGCUGCAUUCUUCACCAGAUGGAAGUUUCCAUGUUGCUUGUAAAGGCAGACCCUUGAACAAAAAUCCAAUUGCAAAGGCCAGUACAAGUGUUUCCUAAGUCUGUACAACUUAAAUUGGACUCCGAUAAAUCCCAGGCUUUUAGAUGGAUCAUAAUUCUACCAAAGAGAAGCAUCAAUUUAGAUCAAGUUAUUCCCCAUUGAAGUCUCAUCCCAAUUUAAUCAAAGCUGGAUUAAGUUGCAUUGGCUCAAGAACCAAAAGCAAUGUUGUGAAAUUUUAGACAACUAUCAUUAAUCCCAUUGACUAUCUUUGCAAUGCUGCUGAGUGUGCUUUUCAAGUGCAAAUAUAUAUUGUAAGUAUGAAUAUUUUUAGAUUUUGAAUAUUAAAUGGAAUUUUGAUAACACCUAUUCCUUUCCCUUCCCACACAGACUAUGGAUUUUACAGUAGGACCUUCAUGCUAAAAUAAUCCUUAACACCAAUUUCCUCUUGAGAUAAGUAAGUCAUGAGGAAAGUAUUAGUUAGUUCUAGGGAGGUAUAUCUUAAAUUGCUUUCUCACAGUGUACUGCACAAGAACACCAAAAAGCAUUGUCCUCUCCAGAGGAUAUUUAAUUCUGCUUUAAAUAUUUAAUUCUGUUUUAAUGUUUGUAUAUUUAUAGAUUUUAAAUUGUAUUGAAAUACUUUUAAUGUAAGCCACUUUGAGUCUACUUGUGGAUUGAAAAAGUGGGGUAUAAAUCGUCUUUGUUGUUGUGGUCGUCAUUUGUCUGUUCUGUCUUAGAGAAAAUUUAUGCAUUUUCCUUGACCAAUUUGUCUUCAUUUCUAUGGUAGUGCAAAAUUCAAAACUAUAGUAACUGCUGCCUUGUCAAAUAUAUUACUAAGCAGUCAAAGCACCAGGUGGGUUCUGGCAUUUUUCUGAGCAAUUAGCACAAUCUUUGUUUGCUUUCUGCGUGUUUGUGCUUAAUUUCACAUAAUGAAAAAACAACAACAAACAACACACAAGAGACAUUUUGUGCAUUUUUUUCAAAGCAUAAUUAAGAAGUGUGUGUGAUGGGUUCUCCAGCUAGAUUUACACUACAGUUCCAAAUUUUGAGCUCAUAUCACUCACCUUUUCCUUGUCUCCUCAAGCCCCCUCCUUGGAUCUACUACUCAUGACAAAGCGGGAUCAUUAUACUAGACAAAUGGAUGUUUGGUCAUUAGAUUCAGCUAGGUAAAGUAUGAUCCAUUUUCCUUGUGGAUUAUUAAACAUUCAGACCAAGAAGUAGAAAACAUGAACAGUCAAGAUUUGUUUAAUUAAGACAUGGCAUGAUAGCCAUUUUUAAAAUUUUGAAAGGAUGUCAUAUGGAAGAUGGAGCUUGCUUGUUUUCUUCUGCUCCAAACUCAGGAUGGUUCUACAUUGAUUUUUUUUUUAAUCCCAGGACUGAUCCAGAGUUUUGAAUUGCCUGCCAGCCCCUGGGCAAGCAAAAAAGGAGUCCUGACUAUCCAAUGACACUGGCUAGUCACUGGACAGCCACUGUUACCAUCUCCCUUCUGUUUCUGUCAUAGUGGUGGUCACAGCCAUCCCGAGGUAAUUUUCGGGAGUAGGCGACCGGAAUUUUGGCACCCCUCCCGAAUUUUGCCCCCCCCCAAACAAAUUGUUGAUAAAUACCGGCAGCGGCGGAAGGCCCAGCCACCCGUCCGCGCGGCCGCCCUCCUGCUCUCCCUCACUGUCGCUGGGGCUGGAGGCUGAGCAAGAAGUGGAGCUGUGCGAUGCGGAGGUCAAGGUUCUUGGGCAGGCCCUCCUCCUCCAGGUUCUCCAACGGCAUCGCGGCGAAGGGCGUGUGCGGGGCCUGUUUGACGUAAGCAGCGUGGCAGGCAGGGCCUAUUCGAUGGAGGCAGUGAUGUGGGUGGGGUCUGUUGGACGUAAUGGUUGGUGUGUGGUGGGGUCUAUUGGACGCAUUCAACAAUAUGGGCGGAGCAUAUUAGACGUAUGAACCAGUGUGGGCGGGGCUUAUUGGACGUAAGCGGCGGUGCAUGCUAUUGGACAUAAGCGGGGCCUGUUGUCAGAGGCUUUCUUCUGCUUCCGGUUGAGGGCCUGAGUUACUCCCCGACUGGCGUGGCAACUUUUUCUCCUCGUCCUCCGCUUGCCUUCUUCCUCUGCCCUUUGCCUUUUGGGCGAUGGGCCUAUGCACGUGCGCAGGCCCAUCGACAGGUGAGCAGUGGGCGACAGCGAGGGAGAGCAGGAGGGUGGAUGAGUGGCUGGGCCUUCCGCCACCGCUGCCGCCACCUUGACAGUGCCCCCGCAUGGUCUGUGCCACAGGUGACUGCUUAAUUCGCCUUAAUGUUGGACCGCCUCUGGUGGUGGUCAGCAGGUAUGACAUGGCUAGUGUCACUUGGAGUGCUGUUGGCUGGGGAGCUAGAGUGACAUAGUGGGGAGAGGGGUAAUUGCCUCCUUCUUUUCCUCCUCCCUUCUCUAAUUGCCCUCAUGUUCCAGUCAACAUCACUCCAAGUAAUGAGUGACGACGUCUAGCCAAUUCUCCUAGGGAAUAUGGGAUGGCUGUGUAACAUAAUAAUAAUAAUAAUAAUAAUAAUAAUAAUAAUAAUAAUAAUAAUAAUACUUUUUUUGUAUCCUGUACUAUCUCCCCAAGGGGACUCAGAGAAGCUUCCAACAUAACAACAGGACUAAACAAAGGACUAAAAAUUUGAAGGAAAACAAUACUCAACAAUAGCAGUAAUAAUAAUCAACAUUGUACAAUAAGUAAAAAGACAGUGACAAUAAUUUUAAUAAUUAUCAUUAAAAGCAGUUUAAAAGUCCAGUUGAGGUAUAAUAACCUAUCAGUUCCCUUACAUUCAGUUUAGUUUGUGCUAUAAACUUUAUUACUCUUUCUCCUUGUAUGCUUGAGAGCAUAAGAAUGUUUUAAGUUGUUUCUUAAAUGAGAGUAAGUAGGGGGGCAAUUUGAUCUUCUUGGGGAGGGCAUUCCAAAGUGUGGGUAGGGGCAACCACUGAGAAGGUGCCCUUUCUUGUUCUCAGAAACCGUGCUUGAGACGAGGGUGUGACCGAGAGUAGGCUGAUCGAAGAGUCCGGGCAGGCUAGUAUAAGGAGAUGUGGUUUGCUAAAUAGUCUGGGCCCGCACUGUUUAGGGCUUUAAAGGUAAUAACCAGUACUUUGUAUCUAGCCCGGAAGUGAAUCGGCAGCCAGUGGAGCUACUGCAACAUGAGAUUGCUUCUCUCCCUGUGCGGAGCCCCAGUUAGUAAUCUGGCUGCCAAUUUCUGGACCAGUUGAAGCUUCCAAACUAUCUUCAAAGUCUCAUCACCAUGAUCUUUGCUAAUGCCAUUCAAGGCUGUGUUAACCUUAAUCAGCUCUGUGCAUUGUACCACCUCCAUGGAGGUGUUAUGCCCACUUUAGAAUAAUAGAUUCAAACUGCAGGAAAAAAGAUUACACCGAAACUUUAGGAAGAACCUCCUGGUGGUAAGAGCUGUUUGACAGUGAAGUUGGCUGUUUAAGAGUGUGGUCGAGUGUCCUUGUCUGGAGGUUUUUAGAUAGAGGAUGGAUGACCAUCUGUUGAGAGGGCUUUGACUGUAUCUUCCUGCUUGGCAGAAUGGAGUUAGAUUGGAUGUCCCAUAUGGCCUCUUCUAUGAUUCUAAUACUUUUUCAACACAACAUUAUGCUUUGAAAAGCUCCUACAUCUUGAAAAACAAACAGUGAUUAGCUAUAUUCAGUGGAAAAUCUAAUUAGUAGAAACAGCAACAAAAAAGAAAGGAUCUAAAGUUAUUGCUGAUCAAAGUACAUGUUAAUUAACAUGAAAAAUGUAACAUGUCAAGCAAGUUCAACCAAAACCGGCAACAUCUUGAAGUUCUCCAUUACUUACUAAAUAAAAGCCACCGGAACCAUCCUCUAAUAACGAACACAUCUGGCUGCCAGUUUUCUCCCUAAAUGAAUAAAUCAGCUCUCACAUGCUUCUGACUGCUACCUGAAUGACAGCUGAAAUUAAUUUCAUGCAGGUUGUCAGUGCAGGGGUGAGGUCAAAGUAUCUUUGGCUCCAUUCCUAUAUUUAAACACCAGAAGGUAUCAUCCAUCUGGUUAAAAGCAAUCAAUAUUCACAAUUUAUCAUAAUUUGCUCUGUGGGCUUCACGUCUUCUGAUUAAUCAGGCAUCCAAAGAAGAAGCAUUCACUGAACUUCCUGGUAGCAUCUAGGUUCCAAGAUGCAGCUGCCUCCAUGCAAAAAGAGUCUCUAUCCGGGGGGAAACAUAGCAAUGGUGAGGAACUGGCUGAGCACCAGUAUAAUUGAAAAUAUUUGAUAAAACCAUAACCCAGGAAAGAGAAAGAGAGACAUUCUUCAGGCACCUCACCCUUUUGCAACAGUUUGCUAGCUACCAGCCCAUUCAAAGUCUUCAGUUGUGCUUCAUCAACAUUUCCAUCUAUAUCAGGGCUGAUCCUUGUAUGAGUAGCUCUUGAGCCUCCAGGCUCCCAGCACUUCCAUCUUUUUCAUCUCAAAACAAAACUGGCAUUUAUAAGCAUCCAUUAUAAAUAUGUUUACAUAUAAAUAAUGCAGCUUUGAGGAGUCCUCUCUCAAAAUGGCAAUUGCACAUCCUCUCACCAUAGAGAAAAAGGUCAGCAGGAAUGAUGAACCUGUUGGAAAUAGCAACCUUCUCAAGCCUCCACUAAUUAUAUAUUGUGUAUAUAAUUCAGCUUGAUUACUUUAUUGUAUGUAUAUGUGUGUACUGGUAUACAAUUUUACCUUAACUCUUUGUUGUGGAAGAAGCUACAGACCAUGUGAUCAGAACUGGGCUUGUUCAGGACUCAGACUCCAUUUUAGAACAGUUCAGUUUAGACUUCAGUAAGAACUGUAUGCUUCAGAUUUCACUGCAGGAACAGUAUGAAGCCAUUAGACUCCAUUGGACUAUGGACUGUUGAUUCUAAGAAAGAUGCCCUGUGUUACCUACACACAGAAAUUACUUCAUAUCUAUUUGUGACUGGAUUGAUAAGCAAAGUACCUGUAUGCUGAAUGCAUGAAGUUUGUGAGUAAACCAACUAUGCUACUUUUAAAGAA